Molecule: transfer RNA, 87 nt
Filed under: Candidatus Veblenbacteria bacterium
Lineage: Bacteria; Candidatus Vebleniibacteriota
Description: tRNA-Ser
Rfam family: tRNA
About the family: Transfer RNA (tRNA) molecules are approximately 80 nucleotides in length. Their secondary structure includes four short double-helical elements and three loops (D, anti-codon, and T loops). Further hydrogen bonds mediate the characteristic L-shaped molecular structure. tRNAs have two regions of fundamental functional importance: the anti-codon, which is responsible for specific mRNA codon recognition, and the 3' end, to which the tRNAs corresponding amino acid is attached (by aminoacyl-tRNA synthetases). tRNAs cope with the degeneracy of the genetic code in two manners: having more than one tRNA (with a specific anti-codon) for a particular amino acid; and 'wobble' base-pairing, i.e. permitting non-standard base-pairing at the 3rd anti-codon position.
Source: RNAcentral
GGAGGCGUGCCAGAGCGGUUGAAUGGGCCGGUCUUGAAAACCGGAGUACCUGCAAGGGUACCGCAGGUUCGAAUCCUGCCGCCUCCG